GGUGGGUGGAAUUAUCCUCCUGAGCUGUAUCAAUUGAGUCCAGAUAUGAUAUGCCAUAUUUUUGUCCGUGAGUUAAUCCAGGACAAAUCCCCUUCAUCAACCCUGAUGUAGCACUUGACUCAAAAGAAGUGGAACCUAAUGGAUAUCCAGUAUGAACUUGACCUCCAUAAAAUGUACUAGAAUUGGUUUCUUGGGGAUUCAUUGAGAUAUCUGAUUUAAGAGAUUCCCGUUCAAUGUCACUACUUUUACAGUAAGCACCAAAAUAUGAGCAAUGUUCCCCUACAAUAGAUAUUUGGGGGGUUGCAGGCAGCAGGNCGUGAAGAUGUACUUGUAUGGCCCAUUUUCUACAAGGUUAUCUGGACCCGAAGCCAAAUCAAAAAGAAGCCAUAGAUACUUGACUGUUUCAGCAAGGAAAAAGCUCUCCAUGUGAUCUUCUUUCUUGUGAGACUCCACAUCUGUUAUGUGACAAU
This 470-nucleotide unclassified non-coding RNA is filed under the name Hevea brasiliensis (rubber tree). Lineage: Eukaryota; Viridiplantae; Streptophyta; Magnoliopsida; Malpighiales; Euphorbiaceae. The record is from RNAcentral.